UACGUAGGGUGCAAGCGUUGUCCGGAAUUAUUGGGCGUAAAGAGCUUGUAGGCGGUUUGUCGCGUCUGCUGUGAAAUUUCGGGGCUCAACCCCGAACUUGCAGUGGGUACGGGCAGACUAGAGUGUGGUAGGGGAGACUGGAAUUCCUGGUGUAGCGGUGAAAUGCGCAGAUAUCAGGAGGAACACCGAUGGCGAAGGCGGGUCUCUGGGCCGAAACUGACGCUGAGGAGCGAAAGCGUGGGGAGCGAACAGG
This 253-nucleotide ribosomal RNA is filed under the name uncultured bacterium. RNAcentral describes it as "partial 16S ribosomal RNA". It matches the Rfam family "Bacterial small subunit ribosomal RNA", at positions 524 to 776 of the family's 1533-position model. The record is from RNAcentral.